RNAcentral lists this ribosomal RNA (515 nucleotides) under uncultured bacterium. RNAcentral describes it as "partial 16S ribosomal RNA". It matches the Rfam family "Bacterial small subunit ribosomal RNA", at positions 355 to 857 of the family's 1533-position model. The record is from RNAcentral.
UGGGGAAUAUUGCACAAUGGGCGCAAGCCUGAUGCAGCCAUGCCGCGUGUGUGAAGAAGGCCUUCGGGUUGUAAAGCACUUUCAGCGAGGAGGAAGGUGGUGAACUUAAUACGUUCAUCAAUUGACGUUACUCGCAGAAGAAGCACCGGCUAACUCCGUGCCAGCAGCCGCGGUAAUACGGAGGGUGCAAGCGUUAAUCGGAAUUACUGGGCGUAAAGCGCACGCAGGCGGUUUGUUAAGUCAGAUGUGAAAUCCCCGGGCUCAACCUGGGAACUGCAUUUGAAACUGGCAAGCUAGAGUCUCGUAGAGGGGGGUAGAAUUCCAGGUGUAGCGGUGAAAUGCGGUAGAGAUCUGGAGGAAUACCGGUGGCGAAGGCGGCCCCCUGGACGAAGACUGACGCUCAGGUGCGAAAAGCGUGGGGAGCAAACAGGAUUAGAUACCCCUGGUAGUCCACGCUGUAAAACGAUGUCGAUUUUGGAGGUUGUGCCCUUGAGGCGUGGCUUCCGGAGCUAACG